CUCCCUCUGGUAUUUCUUAAUCCAUUUCUGCAUCAAUAAAUUGAAUACCUGUGAAGUGUCUAAAAUUUUUUGUUUCCUCUCUAGUUGAGACACAAUAAUUACGUUCUUUACUUUGGUUUUGGAGAGAGUGAUUCUCUAGUUCGUUGACCCUGUUGAUGAAAGAAUGCCAGGUGUUCACUAAAAUUCCUAUAAGAACGUUCCUUAUGUUUCUUUUUUUUUUUUUCCCCUCGAUUUGUUUACUUUGUUUUUGGGAGAAGUUGUUUACUACCUUAUUACAAACUUGCCUUGACUGCUCAAUUGUUUGGUAUUAGAUACAAAAACUAGAAAACCAAAUUUGGGAAACGGAUCAUGUGAAGUAUGGUUUGGAGAGGAGACAACUUUCACAGAUGGAUUGAUAAUUUUCAAAUUUGUCUUCUGUUUGCCACCUUAUCCACGCAUGCGAGAGGUGGUGCAAAUUUAUUUUCAUUUUUCCUCUAAUAAUGAAGGGUUAGAUGUAUUUAGUUCAGACAAUUGUUCUCGGUAUAGAUUUCUUUACAAGGUUCUUAUUAAUUUCCACUACAAAGCAUAGAUUUAGUUAACCAAAUGUCUGCUGAUAAACUUACAAGUCCAUCACCCUAGGGGGUCACAAUGGAAAAUUCAAUGCCUUCCUAAUUUAAUUUUUUAAUUAUGCUUCAAGGAGCAACUUACUGCAUAACAGAGUAGUUUAUUUGCUUGAAUUCCAUGUCUCUUGCUUUUAUAUUGUGUUCAAAAUUUCGAUGAUUAAUUAAUGGCAUAGAAGUCAAAGCAGUAUUUCUUAUCCUUAGCUAUGAACAGUGAAUGAGGGAAUUGUUUUGGGGAGAGAAUUCAGGCACCCAUACGCUGCUAGCUUGUUUUCUUUCUUCACCUUCCCUUUAUUAAUGCUUUUGUCUUUUUGAUCGCUCCUAUUAGUUAAAUAAAAUUUGUUUGAAAAAUAAUCACCCUUGCUUCUUGUUGUCAUUAUACUGCUGUGCAGCUACUUUUGUUUUAAUAACUCUAGCAGGGUGCUUGGUUUCAGUUGGACCUUGAUAUUUACUCUUGUAAAUGUGAUAUUGUUAUACACAUAUUGUCUGUAAGUCACAAUAACAGAAAAUAGCUGAUUUGCUUGUAUGUCUCUAGCUUUUAUAUUUUGGAAAUUUUUUAUGAUUAAUUAAUGGCACAAAAAACUGAAUAUUGCUGCGGAGGUCAGAGCAGUAUUUCUUAUCCUUAGAUAUGAGCUGUGAAUGGAAGAAGCUUUGCUUUUUUAGGAGGGAGUUCAGGCACCCAACCUAGGAGUGUUCACCUUGCCUUCGCUGAUGAUUCUGUAUUAUUGAUUCUUCCAUUAGUUUAAUAGCAAUUUUUUUCGAAGUAUUCACCAUUAUUUCUUGUGAUUAUAAGCUACUUUUGUUUUAAUAACUCUAGGGUGGUGCUUGGUUACAGUUGGACCUUGAUCUUGACUCUUUGUAUAUGUGAUAUUGUUACACAUAUACAGACAUAGUUUAUAUUUAUUGAUAUUAUCACUCGUCAAACAAAUGUUUUAAUUUGAUCUUUAGCAACUCCAACUUUUUGACAAACUACACAAUCAAUUAUGAUAUGCCCUUCCAUUUUAAUGUUCAAAUCUCCGCCACUUUUUUGUUGUAGUAUCUCUUGGUUGUUAACAAAAAUUUUGUUGAUUCAGAUUGGUGUACUUAUUGAAGACACAAAAUUUGUCAAUUCAUGUAUGGGAGGAAAGCCUUGGAAGGCAGGAAAAUUUUCUUCAAGUCUUCGCCUUGCGCUAUGGUCUGAACACCUUGGUCUUCCAGCUGGAGAGAAACACCUGUUCUGUUUAUAGGGCAGCAAAAUAGAAAUGGUCUGGAGAGAUUUCAGUCAUCAUUCCAAGUUACUGAAAGUCCUGGGGCUAACAUCGAUGGUUGUUGCUUUGCUAGAGACUUUUCGCCAACUACUUCAAAACAAGGGAGACAGAAUUCUUCAUAGGUUUGGAAUUGAAUUUGGAGUUUAUUUAGAUGUCUGUCUUUUGUUGAUGGGAAGCUGGAACACUGUACACAAACUGUGUUUUUCCACUUCCCAUCGCCACUGCCAAUUUGUCGAUGUGCUUGAGCCAAACUGAAAUUUUGGUAUCAUUAUAUUCACAUUUAAAUCAUUGCCAACCCA
Camellia sinensis is the source of this 2145-nucleotide long non-coding RNA. RefSeq lists it as uncharacterized. The record is from RefSeq and is a predicted model, not a curated record. NCBI's taxonomy places the organism in Eukaryota, Viridiplantae, Streptophyta, Magnoliopsida, Ericales, Theaceae.